UAGUGGCGGACGGGUGAGUAACGCGUGGGAAUCUGCCCUCAGGAGGGGGAUAACGGUUGGAAACGACCGCUAAUACCCCAUAUGCCGAGAGGUGAAACGAAAUUCGCCUGAGGAUGAGCCCGCGUCUGAUUAGCUAGUUGGUGGGGUAAAGGCCUACCAAGGCAUCGAUCAGUAGCUGGUCUGAGAGGAUGAUCAGCCACACUGAGACUGAGACACGGCCCAGACUCCUACGGGAGGCAGCAGUGGGGAAUUUUCCGCAAUGGGCGCAAGCCUGACGGAGCAACGCCGCGUGAGGGAUGAAGGCCUCUGGGCUGUAAACCUCUUUUCUCAAGGAAGAAGAACUGACGGUACUUGAGGAAUAAGCCACGGCUAA
RNAcentral lists this ribosomal RNA (373 nucleotides) under uncultured bacterium. RNAcentral's name for it is "bacterial SSU rRNA". It matches the Rfam family "Bacterial small subunit ribosomal RNA", at positions 93 to 500 of the family's 1533-position model. The record is from RNAcentral.